Molecule: ribosomal RNA, 512 nt
Filed under: uncultured Stenotrophomonas sp.
Lineage: Bacteria; Pseudomonadati; Pseudomonadota; Gammaproteobacteria; Lysobacterales; Lysobacteraceae
Description: partial 16S ribosomal RNA
Source: RNAcentral
CACGAAGUUAGCCGGUGCUUAUUCUUUGGGUACCGUCAGAACAACCGGGUAUUAGCCGACUGCUUUUCUUUCCCAACAAAAGGGCUUUACAACCCGAAGGCCUUCUUCACCCACGCGGUAUGGCUGGAUCAGGCUUGCGCCCAUUGUCCAAUAUUCCCCACUGCUGCCUCCCGUAGGAGUCUGGACCGUGUCUCAGUUCCAGUGUGGCUGAUCAUCCUCUCAGACCAGCUACGGAUCGUCGCCUUGGUGGGCCUUUACCCCGCCAACUAGCUAAUCCGACAUCGGCUCAUCUAUCCGCGCAAGGCCCGAAGGUCCCCUGCUUUCACCCGAAGGUCGUAUGCGGUAUUAGCGUAAGUUUCCCUACGUUAUCCCCCACGAAAAGGUAGAUUCCGAUGUAUUCCUCACCCGUCCGCCACUCGCCACCCAUAAGAGCAAGCUCUUACUGUGCUGCCGUUCGACUUGCAUGUGUUAGGCCUACCGCCAGCGUUCACUCUGAGCCAGGAUCAAACUCU